GCCAGGCAUGGUGGUGCAUGCCUGUAGUCCAAGCUACUUGGGAGGCUGAUGCUGGAGGAUCACUUGAACGUGGGAGGUGUAGGUUAUAGUGAGCUGUUAUUGUGCCACUGUACUCUAGCCUGGGUGCCAAAGUGAGACCCUGUCUCCA
Molecule: non-coding RNA, 148 nt
Filed under: Nomascus leucogenys (northern white-cheeked gibbon)
Lineage: Eukaryota; Metazoa; Chordata; Mammalia; Primates; Hylobatidae
Source: Rfam by way of RNAcentral